GAUGAACGCUGGCGGCGUGCUUAACACAUGCAAGUCGAACGGGAUCCAAGGGGUGCUUGCACUUUUUGGUGAGAGUGGCGAACGGGUGAGUAACACGUGAGUAACCUGUCCUUUUCUUUGGGAUAGCAUUCGAAAGGGUGUUUAAUACCUUAUGUUCUGUCUGCCUCGCAUGGGGUGGGUGGGAAAGGCUUUGGCCGGAUUUGGGUGGGCUCGCGGUCUAUCAGCUUGUUGGUGGGGUGAUGGCUUACCAAGGCUUUGACGGGUAGCCGGCCUGAGAGGGGGGUCGGUCACAUUGGGACUGAGAUACGGCCCAGACUCCUGCGGGAGGCAGCAGUGGGGGAUAUUGCACAAUGGGCGAAAGCCUGAUGCAGCGACGCCGCGUGGGGGAUGAAGGCCUUCGGGUUGUAAACUUCUUUUGCUCUGAACAAGGCAUGCCAGUGGGUGUGUUGAGUGUAGGGGUUGAUUAGCGCCGGCUAACUACGUG
Molecule: ribosomal RNA, 484 nt
Filed under: uncultured bacterium
Lineage: Bacteria
Description: partial 16S ribosomal RNA
Rfam family: Bacterial small subunit ribosomal RNA
Source: RNAcentral